AGCAAACCUCAGAAAGCCAAUCUCAGUUCGGAUUGUAGGCUGCAACUCGCCUACAUGAAGUUGGAAUCGCUAGUAAUCGCGAAUCAGAAUGUCGCGGUGAAUACGUUCCCGGGUCUUGUACACACCGCCCGUCACACCACGAGAGUUUACAACACCCGAAGUCAGUGGCCUAACCGCAAGGGAGGGGAGCUGCCUAAGGUGGGGGUAGAUGAUUGGGGUGAAGUCGUAACAAGGUAGC
RNAcentral lists this ribosomal RNA (238 nucleotides) under uncultured bacterium. Its description in RNAcentral is "partial 16S ribosomal RNA". It matches the Rfam family "Bacterial small subunit ribosomal RNA", at positions 1266 to 1500 of the family's 1533-position model. The record is from RNAcentral.